Molecule: ribosomal RNA, 497 nt
Filed under: uncultured bacterium
Lineage: Bacteria
Description: partial 16S ribosomal RNA
Rfam family: Bacterial small subunit ribosomal RNA
Source: RNAcentral
GAUGAACGCUGGCGGCGUGCCUAAUACAUGCAAGUCGAGCGAACAGACGAGGAGCUUGCUCCUUUGACGUUAGCGGCGGACGGGUGAGUAACACGUAGGUAACCUUCCUAUAAUACUGGGAUAACUUCGGGAAACCGGAGCUAAUACCGGAUAAUAUUUCGAACCGCAUGGUUCGAUAGUGAAAGAUGGCUUUGCUAUCACUUAUAGAUGGACCUGCGCCGUAUUAGCUAGUUGGUAAGGUAACGGCUUACCAAGUCAACGAUACGUAGCCGACCUGAGAGGGUGAUCGGCCACACUGGAACUGAGACACGGUCCAGACUCCUACGGGAGGCAGCAGUAGGGAAUCUUCCGCAAUGGGCGAAAGCCUGACGGAGCAACGCCGCGUGAGUGAUGAAGGUCUUCGGAUCGUAAAACUCUGUUAUUAGGGAAGAACAGACGUGUAAGUAACUGUGCACGUCUUGACGGUACCUAAUCAGAAAGCCACGGCUAACUACGUG